CACGUAGUUAGCCGUGGCUUUCUGGUUAGGUACCGUCAAGGUACCGACAGUUACUCCGAUACUUGUUCUUCCCUAACAACAGAGUUUUACGAUCCGAAAACCUUCAUCACUCACGCGGCGUUGCUCCGUCAGACUUUCGUCCAUUGCGGAAGAUUCCCUACUGCUGCCUCCCGUAGGAGUCCGGGCCGUGUCUCAGUCCCAGUGUGGCCGAUCACCCUCUCAGGUCGGCUACGCAUCGUCGCCUUGGUGAGCCGUUACCUCACCAACUAGCUAAUGCGCCGCGGGCCCAUCUGUAAGUGACAGCUAGAUGCCGUCUUUUAGCUUUCCUACAUGAGUAGAAAAGAAUUAUCCGGUAUUAGCUCCGGUUUCCCGAAGUUAUCCCAAUCUUACAGGCAGGUUGCCCACGUGUUACUCACCCGUCCGCCGCUAAUCAUCGGGAGCUGAGCUCCCUCAGAUUCGCUCGACUUGCAUGUAUUAGGCACGCCGCCAGCGUUCGUCCUGAGCCAGGAUA
RNAcentral lists this ribosomal RNA (511 nucleotides) under uncultured Bacillaceae bacterium. Its description in RNAcentral is "partial 16S ribosomal RNA". The record is from RNAcentral. Lineage: Bacteria; Bacillati; Bacillota; Bacilli; Caryophanales; Bacillaceae.